This 1343-nucleotide ribosomal RNA is filed under the name uncultured bacterium. RNAcentral describes it as "16S ribosomal RNA". It matches the Rfam family "Bacterial small subunit ribosomal RNA", at positions 28 to 1378 of the family's 1533-position model. The record is from RNAcentral.
GACGAACGCUGGCGGCGUGCUUAACACAUGCAAGUCGAACGGAAAGGCCCUGCUUUUGUGGGGUGCUCGAGUGGCGAACGGGUGAGUAACACGUGAGUAACCUGCCCUUGACUUUGGGAUAACUUCAGGAAACUGGGGCUAAUACCGGAUAGGAGCUCCUGCUGCAUGGUGGGGGUUGGAAAGUUUCGGCGGUUGGGGAUGGACUCGCGGCUUAUCAGCUUGUUGGUGGGGUAGUGGCUUACCAAGGCUUUGACGGGUAGCCGGCCUGAGAGGGUGACCGGCCACAUUGGGACUGAGAUACGGCCCAGACUCCUACGGGAGGCAGCAGUGGGGAAUAUUGCACAAUGGGCGGAAGCCUGAUGCAGCAACGCCGCGUGCGGGAUGACGGCCUUCGGGUUGUAAACCGCUUUCGCCUGUGACGAAGCGUGAGUGACGGUAAUGGGUAAAGAAGCACCGGCUAACUACGUGCCAGCAGCCGCGGUGAUACGUAGGGUGCGAGCGUUGUCCGGAUUUAUUGGGCGUAAAGGGCUCGUAGGUGGUUGAUCGCGUCGGAAGUGUAAUCUUGGGGCUUAACCCUGAGCGUGCUUUCGAUACGGGUUGACUUGAGGAAGGUAGGGGAGAAUGGAAUUCCUGGUGGAGCGGUGGAAUGCGCAGAUAUCAGGAGGAACACCAGUGGCGAAGGCGGUUCUCUGGGCCUUUCCUGACGCUGAGGAGCGAAAGCGUGGGGAGCGAACAGGCUUAGAUACCCUGGUAGUCCACGCUGUAAACGGUGGGUACUAGGUGUGGGGUCCAUUCCACGGGUUCCGUGCCGUAGCUAACGCUUUAAGUACCCCGCCUGGGGAGUACGGCCGCAAGGCUAAAACUCAAAGGAAUUGACGGGGCCCCGCACAAGCGGCGGAGCAUGCGGAUUAAUUCGAUGCAACGCGUAGAACCUUACCUGGGUUUGACAUGGAUCGGGAGUGCUCAGAGAUGGGUGUGCCUCUUUUGGGGUCGGUUCACAGGUGGUGCAUGGCUGUCCUCAGCUCGUGUCGUGAGAUGUUGGGUUAAGUCCCGCAACGAGCGCAACCCUUGUUCACUGUUGCCAGCACGUUAUGGUGGGGACUCAGUGGAGACCGCCGGGGUCAACUCGGAGGAAGGUGGGGAUGACGUCAAGUCAUCAUGCCCCUUAUGUCCAGGGCUUCACGCAUGCUACAAUGGCUGGUACAGAGAGUGGCGAGCCUGUGAGGGUGAGCGAAUCUCGGAAAGCCGGUCUCAGUUCGGAUUGGGGUCUGCAACUCGACCUCAUGAAGUCGGAGUCGCUAGUAAUCGCAGAUCAGCAACGCUGCGGUGAAUACGUUCCCGGG